Molecule: long non-coding RNA, 452 nt
Organism: Sinocyclocheilus grahami
Lineage: Eukaryota; Metazoa; Chordata; Actinopteri; Cypriniformes; Cyprinidae
Exons: 5
Source: RefSeq, a predicted model, not a curated record
CAAGAAAAAAAUAUAUAUUCAGCAAAUCUAGACAUUAGACUCAUGUUUGAAACUUGAGACAUCGCAGUGCAACAUCAAACAAGGAGACACGGGCAGACUAUACAGUGAACUAACUAAACCGCGGAGGAAUUUCAGACGAGCAACUCACGAACUUGAGGAAGCUGUCCAUUGGGCUGGCGCGAAGAGGCAUAUUCAAUGUGGAUGAGGCACACGCAUGUGAGUCUGAGACUGGAUGAAGGGCAAACAUUUGACUGAGUCUGAUACUUGAUGAAGGAUCAUUAGACAGCUGAGUUCGAUCGGUGUCCGGGUCAUAGGGUGGAAGAUGUAGGAGUGAGGAAACGAUUUUGCUGCGAUUGGAAAUGCAGAUCCACCGGCUCAUGGUGAGACACUUCAUACACACAAGAAGGGUGUGCAAGCUGGCCUCCUAAUACGAAGACUACGAUGGUGCAAUG